RNAcentral lists this ribosomal RNA (494 nucleotides) under uncultured bacterium. RNAcentral describes it as "partial 16S ribosomal RNA". It matches the Rfam family "Bacterial small subunit ribosomal RNA", at positions 28 to 507 of the family's 1533-position model. The record is from RNAcentral.
GACGAACGCUGGCGGCGUGCUUAACACAUGCAAGUCGAACGGAAAGGCCUGCCUUCCCUUGUGGAUUGCGGGUACUCGAGUGGCGAACGGGUGAGUAACACGUGAGUGAUCUGCCCCCAACUUGGGUAUAAGCCUGGGAAACUGGGUCUAAUUCCCGAUAGGACUGCAGGGUGGUGCCUGUGGUGGAAAACGAUUUUCUAGUGGUUGGGGAUGAGCUCGCGGCCUAUCAGCUUGUUGGUGGGGUAAUGGCCUACCAAGGCGGCGACGGGUAGCCGGCCUGGGAGGGUGGACGGCCACAUUGGGACUGAGAUACGGCCCAGACUCCUACGGGAGGCAGCAGUGGGGAAUAUGGCACAAUGGGCGGAAGCCUGAGGCAGCGACGCCGCGGGGGGGAUGACGGCCUUCGGGUGGUAAACUCCUUUCGACCGCGAGGAAGCCACCUGGUUGGAAGGGUGGUGACGGUAGUGGGAGAAGAAGCACCGGCUAACUACGUG